GGUAGCCAAGCCCGGAAGGGAUAAACGCUGAAGGCAUCUAAGCGUGAAGCCCCCCUCAAGAUGAGAUAUCCCAUCCGAAAGGAGUAAACCCCCUUGAAGACGACGAGGUUGAUAGGGCAGAGGUGGAAGUGUGGUAACACAUGGAGCUGACUGCUACUAAUAGGGUGAGGGCUUGACCAAGAA
This 183-nucleotide ribosomal RNA is filed under the name Blautia obeum. Its description in RNAcentral is "partial 23S ribosomal RNA". It matches the Rfam family "Bacterial large subunit ribosomal RNA", at positions 2744 to 2925 of the family's 2925-position model. The record is from RNAcentral. Lineage: Bacteria; Bacillati; Bacillota; Clostridia; Lachnospirales; Lachnospiraceae.